AUGGUCGCCGUCCAGAUCAAGAUCAACCUCGCCGUGGACAGGUCCCGGAACCGCGUCCUGUUCGCAGAUGCCGGCUCCGACUUCGUCGAUGCCCUCCUCACCUUCCUCACGCUCCCGCUCUCAGGCUUCCAGUCCUGCGCGACCCCAUCGCCGUGCUGCCUUCCCAGCCUCCGCGAUAGCGUCAGGACCCUCGGGAAGAGUGGGCUGCUGAAUGUUGAGGAGUGCUGUAGGACACUGCUCACUCCUGCUCACACAGACGAGUUCCCGCUCUGCAAGUCAACUCACAGUCGACGCAAGUGUUACCCGGUUAUGGCUAGAGUUUUGCAUGCCUACCAGCAGCUAGAUGGCGAAGGGAUAUUUGUAGGCGGCAAAGCACGGUUUGUGAUCAGUGAUGACAUGACAGUCAAGCCGGCAUCCACUAGGACUAUGCAGUCUCUUCCGCAGGCGUUGGGUUGUGAUGGGAUCGGCCAUGGCUUUGAGGUGGUCAAACAGGUUGUCGAGCGUAAGCAGCUAUUGGCUAUGUUGGAGGCCUUCCUCUCAUCAGAUACCGUAUUGACCGAUGCAUUUCUACCCAAGGAAUCAAUUGAUAGUGCCGCUCGCGCCACCAUGAAACCGAGCAUCAAUCGGAACAUUCCACCGUCUGAUCAAGAUUCUGCAGGUUCUUCACCAGAGAGCAAGAUCAAGAUCUUCUACGACACCUGCGAAAAGAAGGUCAUGUAUGCUGAAUGCAACCAUGAGUUCGUCAACCUGCUCCUCGGUUUCCUGACUUACCCGGUCGGCUCUGUCAUCAAGAACACGGGCCCUGGCACUUCACAUCUCGAAGGUGCUUCGAUAAUCUUUACAGAAGCGUCAUCGAUCUCGACAACACUGGCAGCUUAA
Molecule: ribosomal RNA, 879 nt
Filed under: Triticum aestivum (bread wheat)
Lineage: Eukaryota; Viridiplantae; Streptophyta; Magnoliopsida; Poales; Poaceae
Description: partial small subunit ribosomal RNA
Source: RNAcentral